This is a long non-coding RNA of Passer domesticus (house sparrow), 1490 nucleotides long. RefSeq lists it as uncharacterized. NCBI's taxonomy places the organism in Eukaryota, Metazoa, Chordata, Aves, Passeriformes, Passeridae. The record is from RefSeq and is a predicted model, not a curated record. The transcript is spliced from 3 exons.
AAUAACUGCAUUUUCAGUGUGGUAAUGCUGGGAAAGGUUAUGUGCCUUAUGCAUUUAUAUAGCAAUGACCUGCACUUUCUCAUGAAGGGUACCUCAUGAGGGUUUCAUUCACUUUUCUCAUCAAGUUCUGCAGAUUCUGAUUGAAAGGCGCAUCCCUGUGCUUAUUGACCACAUUUACUGCACAACUGGGGAGCACAGAGUCUGAUACCCAUUCCCAUAAGUAUGGUCAUAUCAAGGAGAGAUGCUGAAUCAACCACUCUACCAAACAUGAGAAAAACCCACCCCCAGUAUCAGUGAGUGUGUGAGAAAUCUGGCACUGAGUUGACCACCCAGAGAUUGCAAGGAGACUGCAUUGGCAAGGGGACCACCCAAAUACUGACAUUCCACUGUCCUCAAAUCAGCAGCAAGAAACGUCUGUGGCAUGCACUCUGAAAUACAUGCUGGGAAUAUGAAUCUUUCUGGAGAAAGAGAAGGAGCGCAGAUUGUAGUUUGUGGAAGAAAUCUAGUAAAAAUAUGUGACCGUUGACUAACAUAAAGCAUACAACAUAUUUUAAUCCUGUACACAUGUGAAUGAAUGAAUGAAAUGGAAGCCAGGACAGCACACAAAGAUUGUACACCAAAGAGCUGCCAGUUCUUCUGUUUCUAAAGGCACUAUGAAAAUAUGUCAAAAUGAGUUUGUUGCAGAAUAAUCAUAUAGGCAGAGACUGCUGCUAUGGUAGCAUUGGCACAGAGCAAAAGGGCCUGCUUCCUGCUAUAAGUGCUGCUCAUUGGUUUAGAGCUCAGUAAACUUGAUUUAUUCAAGAAUUCAUGUUUCCCUGUUCAAACCCCAUACCUCUGUGUUUUAGGUGUUUCCAUCCUUCGUUAUUAUGAUGUGGAUUCUCUUCCCAUUGCAGUUAUUCUUUUCACCUGUGUAUGCAGUAGAAGACUGAAACUGAAAAUUUUAAGCCAGACACUGUGGAUGAAUGAACAUAAUGAAAAUUUGUGACCAAAAUUUUGUUAUGGGUGCUAAGGAAUAGUAGAUGCUAUGUCUUUUAAGCUUCUAAGUAAAUUUAAUUUACCCCCAGAAGCAGACUAUUUAAUAGUAUAGUUCUCCUUUGUCUCUGUGUAUGCCUUCUUAUAUUAUGUAUAAAAUGUUACACGUUUACUGUAAGUUUACUGUAUUUCUGCUGUUAAAGAUUGUCAAAUGCUCAUGUUGAAAUAUUUAACGGAGAGAUGAAUUGGUCUUAAAACCCAUACUGAAAAAAAAAACCUACCUGGGACUUAGAAGAGUAUAAUAUUCUGCCAUUCAUGGACAAUUAUUUCCUGUAUUAGCAUCCUACUAAGUGCAGUGACUGUUUUUGGUGUGUUUUUGAGGAUUUGGACUUCAAAUAUUUCCCAGAGAAAAGUCUUCUAGUGUUAAGUGAGGAACACCAGUGCAGUGCCAAAAUGGUACAGAAUUUCUGCAGGGUGUUUGUGGGAGAACUGUGUGGUAUUUUUGCAGUUUUUAUUAC